RNAcentral lists this ribosomal RNA (775 nucleotides) under Helix pomatia (Roman snail). RNAcentral describes it as "partial 16S ribosomal RNA". The record is from RNAcentral. Lineage: Eukaryota; Metazoa; Mollusca; Gastropoda; Stylommatophora; Helicidae.
GUGAGCUAAACGCACAUAUGGUCUAUUUGCAUGCGUCGCAUAGCACGUAAUAAAUGUACGUUUAGGGGUGAUAGGCUUUUCAAACGUUCCUAUAACUUGUUUCAUAUGAAAAGUAUUAARUACCUAAACAAAUUUAAAAAGUUAAGCUUUUAAAUAACUAUUAAAGAUAUUAUCCCCUUGUAGUGUAGUUUAAUAACUAUCUACAUAAUAACUUAAUAUAAAGUAUAAUAGUUUAUAUUUUAUAAUAUGACAUUAACAAUUUUGUUUAAUAUUUGAAAAUGUUAGUAUUAGUAAUAUUAGUAUAUGUGCUAAAGGAACUCGGCAAAAAACCACUCAACUGUUUAUCAAAAACAUAGCUAUAUGAAUUAAUAUAUAGUUAUUUCUGCUCAAUGACUUAAAUAGCCGCAGUACUCUGACUGUGCAAAGGUAGCAUAAUCAGUUGGCUUUUAAUUAGAGUCUGGUAUGAACGAAAAUAUGGGUAGUAACUGUCUUAGCACAUUUUUUCGAACUUAUUAAACACGUGCAAAUGCUUGUAAUUUAACAAUAGACGAGAAGACCCUAGAAACUUGGACAAGUUUUUGUUGGGGCGACAGAAUUACACUUAACUAAUCUUAUAAUACACGACGCGAUGUUGAAAGAAUAAGUUACUCUAGGGAUAACAGCAUAAUUUUAUUAGUUUGUGACCUCGAUGUUGGACUAGGUACUAUACCCUUAAGGCAAGGAUAUAUUAUGCUCUGUUCGAGCAAAAUUACCUACAUGAUCUGAGUUCAGACCG